Molecule: ribosomal RNA, 119 nt
Filed under: Chrysemys picta bellii (western painted turtle)
Lineage: Eukaryota; Metazoa; Chordata; Testudines; Emydidae
Source: RNAcentral
GUCUAUGGCCAUACCACCCUGAACACGCCUGAUCUCGUCUGAUCUCGGAAGCUAAGCAGGGUCGGGCCUGGUUAGUACUUGGAUGGGAGACCUCGUGGGAAUACUGGGUGCUGUAGGCU